GAUGAACGCUAGCUACAGGCUUAACACAUGCAAGUCGAGGGGCAGCAUGGAAGAAGCUUGCUUCUUCUGAUGGCGACCGGCGCACGGGUGCGUAACGCGUAUCAAACCUGCCUCAUACUCGGGGAUAGCCUUGCGAAAGUAAGAUUAAUACCCGAUGUUGUUAUGUUACCGCAUGGUGAUAUAACCAAAGAUUUAUCGGUAUGGGAUGGUGAUGCGUCCGAUUAGGUAGUAGGCGGGGUAACGGCCCACCUAGCCAUCGAUCGGUAGGGGUUCUGAGAGGAAGGUCCCCCACACUGGAACUGAGACACGGUCCAGACUCCUACGGGAGGCAGCAGUGAGGAAUAUUGGUCAAUGGACGCAAGUCUGAACCAGCCAAGUAGCGUGCAGGAUGACGGCCCUCUGGGUUGUAAACUGCUUUUAGUUGGGAAUAAAAAAGAGGACGUGUCCUCUAUUGUAUGACCUCAGAAAAAGACCG
RNAcentral lists this ribosomal RNA (475 nucleotides) under Alloprevotella sp. oral taxon 473. RNAcentral's name for it is "bacterial SSU rRNA". It matches the Rfam family "Bacterial small subunit ribosomal RNA", at positions 28 to 494 of the family's 1533-position model. The record is from RNAcentral. Lineage: Bacteria; Pseudomonadati; Bacteroidota; Bacteroidia; Bacteroidales; Prevotellaceae.